Molecule: long non-coding RNA, 2480 nt
Organism: Oreochromis niloticus (Nile tilapia)
Lineage: Eukaryota; Metazoa; Chordata; Actinopteri; Cichliformes; Cichlidae
Source: Ensembl
GCUGGCUAUAAAUAACUCAUUACGCUAAUUAUGGUAUGUGAGCACACAGCUAGCCUGCGAGCACAAACACAGUCAAGCGUGAGCACCGUGGGUUCAAACAUGGUGUCCGUAUGGCAAGUUAUAAACCUCCGUCGGCAGCCGCUGCUCCUCUCGCACUGAGAUGGAGGAGGAGUUGCAUGGAAACUUUUUUUGUCUUCCUUAUGAUCCCAUACGAGUGAAUCCUGGUCGAUUGUGUUUUCUAAAGAUAAACCACUCAGAUCCCCCUAUGCUUGACAAGGACAGUGAGUGUGAUUACCUGUGACGUUGGCCUAUGAGAACUCUGUAGCUCUGACAGGCAUCUCCUGCUGUGACUUUGACAUAUCUCAAUACAACUCUUAUUUUGAUGGAGCCUGUCUCUCAGACAGCUAGCAGUGACAAGACAAUUUUGAUGAGGGUAAAAUAGAACAGGCGCUUAAGAGACCCGGAGAGAGGUCUCGUUCCUCUGGGCAAAGCAUUAAUGAUCCUACUGUCUCUGUCUAUGUCAAUAGUUCUCCAGUGUCCAUCUGUUUCAGUCACAUACAGACUUCCCGCUAAUGACAGGAAGUGUUGAUACUGCACAGGAACGAACCAGUCACUGUGGUAUUAAGGGCGUCAUUUGAGAAAAGACUCCCAACUUCGGAUGCUAUUUUCCACUGAAAACUUGAGGAAAGACGCAGGACUAAAACACGCUGGGACCAACAACCAUGGCGAUAGGCGGAUAAGGCUGGAUCAAGCUUGGAGCGUCAAACAGGUUAUGCCCUGUUUUGUGAUUAACCCUGGCAGCCAUACACUACAGCUGGAAGCGCAACACAACAUCCAGCACCGUGAAGCUCCAAGGCUGUAGACAUGACAAGGACAGAGCAGGUAAUCAAUUAUGCCCUCUAUGGUAUCCUUUCUGUCAGACUGAAGGGAACACAAAUUAUGAAAUGGCUAUUGAGAGCAGAAUCUUUCGCCAGCUACAGUUUGGACAGGUUUGCAGCCAGACCUUGAAAUCAAUCAUCAUGGUCGAGCGAGGAAGGGAAGUUAAUUCUAGUUGAGGCACAAGUGGUAAAGCCUGCUGAAGGAUUCACAGUGAGCUGCAAAUUGUUCACCGAGGUUUGUCAGAACCUUGGAUUCUACUACUGUAAGGACAUUUUUUAGAGUCAGUCUCAAAAGCUCAGCAGCAUUCCUGUCUGACAAAGCUCUAUUUGCCUUUCAGUGUGGUUGUUGGUUGAAUUAAGUGAAAAGAAAAAAAAUUAAAAACAAACAACAACUGCAAAUAGCUUUUUUAUUCAGAUAGACAUCUGGUCGCAGAGGCUUUAUUACCAAUCUGCAAGGUCCCUCCAGAUUUAUCUUUCUGUUCUCUCCCUGCUGUGCCUUCAUUCUCCCUCUUUUCCCAUUCUCUCUUUCUGCCUGCCAUCCUAUAUCAGACCCACUGCUUCUGCAGUGCCCUCAAGCACAGUCACAAAUUGACAUGCUGAAUUCUCAGCUGGGACAUUAAACCCUGGGGAUCAAGCAUACAGAGAAAGCUCAAGGGAGAUUGUUUAUGUUCAUCACAAGGUGUACUAGCUGGAUUUCCUUGUGAAAGGACCAAAGUCCCUCAUCUCUAAUCUGCAGCUAGGCUUUGAGUGAGAAAAAAAACUGCAAAUAAUCUUUUUAUAAGUUAAAACCAAUCACACAACAUUAAAACCACAGGCUGAACUGAUGCAAUGUCCUGCUAGGAAUUCUUGCAUUAAUGUUAAUAUUGGUUUGACACAUAAACAGUGCUGCAGGCCAAGCACACACCACCAUCCCAUGGUAACACUUCCUGAUGGCAGUUCAGCACACUGCAAAAACAGCUCAAACUCCUCAGAUCACAAUCAAACGGAGCAUCGGUGGAACAUGUUGGAACAGGCCAGCUAGGCCUAUACCACGACACACCACCCACAGGACCCAAAGCGCUCUGUUGCCAGCGUCCUUGUGCCAGUAAUCACAGGACACCUCCAGCGCUCCCAUGCCCAUGUCCUGCCAGGUCAGAGCUGUUUUGGCAGCAAGAAAGGUACCAAUGCAUUAUUUGCAAGGUGUGUUUUAAUGCUGUGGAUGAUCCAUGUACAUCCUUUUAAGGGUGAUGAUUUAUCUAAGUGGAGUAAUGGACAGAUGGAAUAGAAGAAAAUGUCUCCUCAAUUAUGAAAAAUUGUAUCACUUUGAUGCCUUCAUUUGUUAGUGGAUGAUGCUUGCAGGAACGUACUGGGAUUGCGCUGCUUCAGUAGAAUGAUUGCUCUUAUUCUUGCAAAUGAGGACAUAUGAUUAAAUUUAUAGUGCCACACACACACAUUAGCGUUUGUUCUACACACUUCCACAUGGAGUUGCGCAGGAGUAUGAGCACACUGGGUUCGAAAAGGUACCACAUUAAUACUAUAUGUGCAUUUUCUCGAACCCGCGCCUACGCACACACUUCUUGUCUUUUCAGGUCAGCUCAGUAGAGAGCACUCUGUGGUAAUGAG